RNAcentral lists this ribosomal RNA (452 nucleotides) under uncultured bacterium. RNAcentral's name for it is "bacterial SSU rRNA". It matches the Rfam family "Bacterial small subunit ribosomal RNA", at positions 447 to 897 of the family's 1533-position model. The record is from RNAcentral.
GGCUCUGGUUAAUACCUGGGGUCGAUGACGGUACCGGAAGAAUAAGGACCGGCUAACUACGUGCCAGCAGCCGCGGUAAUACGUAGGGUCCAAGCGUUAAUCGGAAUUACUGGGCGUAAAGCGUGCGCAGGCGGUUGUGCAAGACCGAUGUGAAAUCCCCGAGCUUAACUUGGGAAUUGCAUUGGUGACUGCACGGCUAGAGUGUGUCAGAGGGGGGUAGAAUUCCACGUGUAGCAGUGAAAUGCGUAGAGAUGUGGAGGAAUACCGAUGGCGAAGGCAGCCCCCUGGGAUAACACUGACGCUCAUGCACGAAAGCGUGGGGAGCAAACAGGAUUAGAUACCCUGGUAGUCCACGCCCUAAACGAUGUCAACUAGUUGUUGGGGAUUCAUUUCCUUAGUAACGUAGCUAACGCGUGAAGUUGACCGCCUGGGGAGUACGGUCGCAAGAUUAA